This 255-nucleotide ribosomal RNA is filed under the name uncultured bacterium. Its description in RNAcentral is "partial 16S ribosomal RNA". It matches the Rfam family "Bacterial small subunit ribosomal RNA", at positions 524 to 776 of the family's 1533-position model. The record is from RNAcentral.
UACGUAGGGUGCGAGCGUUAAUCGGAAUUACUGGGCGUAAAGCGUGCGCAGGCGGUUUUGUAAGCCAGAUGUGAAAUCCCCGGGCUUAACCUGGGAAUGGCAUUUGGGACUGCAAGGCUUGAGUGACGGCAGAGGAGACUGGAAUUCCUGGUGUAGCAGGUGAAAUGCGUAGAUAUCAGGAGGAACACCGAUGGCGAAGGCAGGUCUCUGGGCUGACACUGACGCUCAUGCACGAAAGCGUGGGGAGCAAACAGG